GAUGAACGCUGGCGGCGUGCCUAAUACAUGCAAGUCGAGCGAACAGACGAGGAGCUUGCUCCUCUGACGUUAGCGGCGGACGGGUGAGUAACACGUGGAUAACCUACCUAUAAGACUGGGAUAACUUCGGGAAACCGGAGCUAAUACCGGAUAACAUGUUGAACCGCAUGGUUUAACAGUGAAAGACGGUCUUGCUGUCACUUAUAGAUGGAUCCGCGCCGCAUUAGCUAGUUGGUAAGGUAACGGCUUACCAAGGCAACGAUGCGUAGCCGACCUGAGAGGGUGAUCGGCCACACUGGAACUGAGACACGGUCCAGACUCCUACGGGAGGCAGCAGUAGGGAAUCUUCCGCAAUGGGCGAAAGCCUGACGGAGCAACGCCGCGUGAGUGAAGAAGGUCUUCGGAUCGUAAAACUCUGUUAUUAGGGAAGAACAAAUGUGUAAGUAACUAUGCACGUCUUGACGGUGCCUAAUCAGAAAGCCACGGCUAACUACGUGC
RNAcentral lists this ribosomal RNA (498 nucleotides) under uncultured bacterium. RNAcentral's name for it is "partial 16S ribosomal RNA". It matches the Rfam family "Bacterial small subunit ribosomal RNA", at positions 28 to 508 of the family's 1533-position model. The record is from RNAcentral.